This is a non-coding RNA of Ictidomys tridecemlineatus (thirteen-lined ground squirrel), 47 nucleotides long. The record is from Rfam. Lineage: Eukaryota; Metazoa; Chordata; Mammalia; Rodentia; Sciuridae.
CCAAAGGCUUUUCUAGGAGCCACAUUAUAUUUACUUGUCUUAUCUCU